CCUGUCUUUCUUUGAGUCUUAGAUGA
This 26-nucleotide non-coding RNA is filed under the name Rattus norvegicus (Norway rat). Lineage: Eukaryota; Metazoa; Chordata; Mammalia; Rodentia; Muridae. The record is from RNAcentral.